AUUGUCGAUUUGGAGUUUGUUGCCUAGAGUGAUGGGCUCCGAAGCUAACGCGAUAAAUCGACCGCCUGGGGAGUACGGCCGCAAGGUUAAAACUCAAAUGAAUUGACGGGGGCCCGCACAAGCGGUGGAGCAUGUGGUUUAAUUCGAUGCAACGCGAAGAACCUUACCUGGUCUUGACAUCCAUAGAAUUCUGCAGAGAUGUGGGAGUGCCUUCGGGAACUAUGAGACAGGUGCUGCAUGGCUGUCGUCAGCUCGUGUUGUGAAAUGUUGGGUUAAGUCCCGCAACGAGCGCAACCCUUAUUCUUUGUUGCCAGCGAUUUGGUCGGGAACUCAAAGGAGACUGCCGUUGAUAAAGCGGAGGAAGGUGGGGACGACGUCAAGUCAUCAUGGCCCUUACGACCAGGGCUACACACGUGCUACAAUGGCGUAUACAAAGGGAAGCGAAGGUGCGAGCUGGAGCGGAUCUCAUAAAGUACGUCUAAGUUCGGAUUGGAGUCUGCAACUCGACUCCAUGAAGUCGGAAUCGCUAGUAAUCGUAGAUCAGAAUGCUACGGUGAAUACGUUCCCGGGCCUCGUACACACCGCCCGUCACACCAUGGGAGUGGGUUGCACCAGAAGUAGAUAGCUUAACCGCGAGGGGGGCGUUUACCACGGUGUGAUUCAUGACUGGGGUGAAGUCGUAACAAGGUAACCA
Molecule: ribosomal RNA, 694 nt
Filed under: uncultured Enterobacteriaceae bacterium
Lineage: Bacteria; Pseudomonadati; Pseudomonadota; Gammaproteobacteria; Enterobacterales; Enterobacteriaceae
Description: bacterial SSU rRNA
Rfam family: Bacterial small subunit ribosomal RNA
Source: RNAcentral